RNAcentral lists this ribosomal RNA (459 nucleotides) under uncultured bacterium. RNAcentral describes it as "partial 16S ribosomal RNA". It matches the Rfam family "Bacterial small subunit ribosomal RNA", at positions 338 to 795 of the family's 1533-position model. The record is from RNAcentral.
CCUACGGGAGGCAGCAGUGAGGAAUAUUGGUCAAUGGUCGGGAGACUGAACCAGCCAAGCCGCGUGAGGGAUGAAGGUACAGAGUAUCGUAAACCUCUUUUGUCAGGGAACAAAGGCGUGGACGUGUCCCCGGAUGAGUGUACCUGAAGAAAAAGCAUCGGCUAACUCCGUGCCAGCAGCCGCGGUAAUACGGAGGAUGCGAGCGUUAUCCGGAUUUAUUGGGUUUAAAGGGUGCGGAGGCGGUCUGUUAAGUCAGCGGUAAAACCCCGGGGCUCAACCCCGGCCCGCCGUUGAAACUGGCAGUCUCGAGUUGGAGAGAAGUAUGCGGAAUGCGCGGUGUAGCGGUGAAAUGCAUAGAUAUCGCGCAGAACUCCGAUUGCGAAGGCAGCAUGCCGGCUCCACACUGACGCUGAGGCACGAAAGCGUGGGUAUCGAACAGGAUUAGAUACCCGUGUAGUC